Molecule: long non-coding RNA, 2302 nt
Organism: Alexandromys fortis (reed vole)
Lineage: Eukaryota; Metazoa; Chordata; Mammalia; Rodentia; Cricetidae
Exons: 4
Source: RefSeq, a predicted model, not a curated record
GUGUGCACAGAGCUGGGUGAUAAAGACAGAAGGGUGGGGCUAGCAAAAUAUUCCAAGAUGGCAAUGUUAUUUGUGUUCCUCCUCGGCCAAAAGGUGAAGGGUUCUCCUGAGGGGAGAGUUGUUUUCCCCAGCACCGAGUGGGACAAAGGAUAAGGAAGGCAGAUUUCUGUUUGUAGUGACUGUCGGUUUCGGCGAGAAAUUAUCCACUCCAGAUGAUGCCUAGAACGCCGUAAGAAUUCAGUAGUCCUUGCUGAAUGCCUCAAUGAAAAAGUUGGAGGAACGGAUAGACAGACAAACAGAUGCCAUGUAGAAUAAAUACAGAGAGGAUGCCACCUACCCCACAGGUGCCGCUUUCUUUAAUUGGACUUUCCAAGUCCCGACAUUGUUUUCAGAACAAAGGUUAUGUUUUGACAAAACUAAGUUAGUGUCUUCCGAAGAAUAAUUUUGGAGUCUAAAUGACUAUUCUUGAGAGUCUCCCUCUAAACAGGCCUGCAUUUUGCUUAGACCAAGGCGUCGUGACUGACAAGUGGAGGUUUGUUUUUUGUUUUUGUUUUUGCUUUUCUUCUUCUUUGUGUGAAAGUCUUGGCAGAAAUGUAUGACUGCCACAGCUAUGCAAUUUUUUUCCGGAUUCCUGCUGCUUUACAGCCCCUGAGAGAAAGACCUUGCUUCCAGGAGUUGUCUUAGUAGAUUGCCCAGAAGCCUCAAUAUCAGAAAAGACGAGAACAUCUGAACCCUGCUACAGCUGUUUUAAAGAAAAUAACUUCUUAAAACGCUCUUUUAGAACUGAACCUGAGCUCAGCACCGUAGGAAGGCUGGUGCACUAUGGAAGGAGAGCGCACCGUGGGAAGAACAGCGCACCGUGGGAAAGAUGGCGCACCAUGGGAAGGACGGCACACAGUGGGAAGGAUGGUGCCCUGGACAGAGUCCGAGAUUGAUUGGUUGGUGGCAAAUUGUGACUUUAUUUUGUUCCGUCAACUCCCACUCUAAAGCGGGUGGAAGAAAUAAACAGAAGAGAGCUGCACUGAGUCUGGCUUCGGUUUCUAUUUCCUGAGCUGCCUUCUUAAAGAAUUUGGCCAGAAAGUCGGCUAUUUGCAUACAGUGGGAUCUUGACAGACGCUGUACUUUAUCUCGGCUGCGUUGUAAAAAUGUGAACACGGAUAUUAGAAUCCACAGCAAAUCAGCGGCUGCUGAAGACAGCCUUGAAAAUGUAGUCAUUCCUAACUGAAUUAUCAUUGUGGAUGACGUUCUCUAUUCUGGACCUUGAAAAACUUCAGGGAAAAAAAAUCGGUAAUACAAACCACAUGGUUGCCUCCUUCUACCGCCAUUCUUGGCAGAGCGAGUGCUGCCUGGCAACGCUGCCGUCAGCUGGGCUGAGUAAUCAGGGCAGUAUUGCCCCAUAGUUAAAUCUAAUGCUUUCUUUCUGAGAACUCACCAGUGCAUGCUUUUUCUUCUUAUCAGUCUUCUUGGUAAUGUUUGAACAGGGCUUCUGUGCAUGAGGAGAACACGUCCCUGUAGAAGGAGUUGCUGAAAUAGUAAAAAAGAAAAGAAAAAAAAUCAUAAAGCCUUCUAAUGACUCUACAAAGGAAAGCGAAGGGGGAUGGAAGCUUGCAAGGAGUGCUUGCCUGUUGCUUUGGACUUUGGUCCCACAGAGGCCCGUGGCCCAGCCACACUGCUGGCCAAACUCCACUUUCUUCCCUGGGCCUUUUAGAAACACCUCCCUCCCUAUGGAAACUUGAAAGGCAAGCUUUCAAUAUAUGAAAGUUUGAGACCAGAAUCUAAAAACUUGUGAGGGAAAAAAAAUCUUUUUGUAUGUAGCCCUAACCAAAAUAAAAUAAAAUAAAUAAAAGCAGUAUUUCAAUUCCAGAACACUUAAAAGGACCUGUGCAUUUGGAUCAAAACCUAGAUGACGACAUCUAAUCCAGCAGACUGGGCUAGAGUUAAGAUGAUACAAAUAUGAUAAUGAUAAAGAAGCAUUUGAAGACAACCUUCCAGGAAAGAGGGGUCACUGGAGCAGCCAAAGCCACAAAGAGCAUAACUAAAGCCAUAUUAGAGUCAACAAGAUAUUAGAAUCCACCUGGUGGAAUUUUACUUUAGACAAAUGCAUCAACAAGGACUUCCUGAAACUCUUUCUAAUCCUUGCUGUUUCACCAAAAUAACAUAAAAGCCAGGCAAUGGUGGCAUACACCUUUAAUCCCAGCACUUGGGAGGCAGAGGCAGGAGGAUCUCUGUGAGUUCCAGGCCAGCCUGGUCUACAAAAUAAGUUCCAGGACAGCUAGGACUGCUAUACAGAGAAACCUGUUGA